Molecule: ribosomal RNA, 253 nt
Filed under: uncultured bacterium
Lineage: Bacteria
Description: partial 16S ribosomal RNA
Rfam family: Bacterial small subunit ribosomal RNA
Source: RNAcentral
UACGUAGGGGGCAAGCGUUGUCCGGAAUUAUUGGGCGUAAAGAGCUCGUAGGCGGUCUGUUGCGUCCGCUGUGAAAACUCGGGGCUUAACCCCGAGCCUGCAGUGGAUACGGGCAGACUUGAGUUCGGUAGGGGAGACUGGAAUUCCUGGUGUAGCGGUGAAAUGCGCAGAUAUCGGGAGGAACACCAGUGGCGAAGGCGGUUACCUGGAGCUUUGCUGACGCUGAUGCGCGAAAGCGUGGGGAGCGAUCCGG